Syngnathus acus (greater pipefish) is the source of this 175-nucleotide long non-coding RNA. RefSeq lists it as uncharacterized. The transcript has 3 exons. The record is from RefSeq and is a predicted model, not a curated record. NCBI's taxonomy places the organism in Eukaryota, Metazoa, Chordata, Actinopteri, Syngnathiformes, Syngnathidae.
AAAAAUUUACCACAGUAUAACACCAAAUGUAUUAGAAAAUCCAUAUGUUGUAAAGUGUUGUAUUAUUACUAUCUUCCACUAUCUGUCCUACUCACUCCAUCCUUCUGAGGCUUGGCAACACCCAUGCCUCACACCUUGACAAACUUUUUUGGGAGAAUGUCAAAUUAAAUAUGAU